AAAUUUUAUAACCUAAUUCAUUAAUUAUUCUAAAAUUUAAAGCUAUUUGAAAUAUAGUGGCAAAAUGUAGAAAUAUAAAUAAGAUACAUAUAGUCUAAAAUGUAAGGGGACUUUCGUGAUGAAGAUUGAAAAUUUUACACUAAUUUACAUCAUGUGAUAGAUGUGAUAGAUUUUUAUUAGUUUUUUUCUUAUUAUCAUAAUUAUUACGUUAUUUAGAUGUCAUAUAUAUAAAUUAGGGUCCGGCUAUGGUGCUUUUAAAAGCACCAUGGACUUGGUGCUUGUAAAUUUUUUACCGUUAGAUCUAUGCCUUUUAUCAUUUUUAUCCGUUAGAUUAUACUAUUCAACCAACCACCCACUCAACCCUAGAGGGCCCACAUCAUCCUAACCGCACAUUAUUUAAUCCAAAGGUCGAAAACUUAUAAGUACCAAUAACUUGGUACUUUUAAAAGCAUAGGAGCUCAAUUCAUAUUAAUUAUCCAUUCAAAAUUAUUUUUAUCCCGAUAUGUUAAUAUAUAUUACAGUAAAGUAUUACUAUAAUAAAAUAUAUUUUAGAUGGUGCCUUUUAGAUGAUGAUCUAUUUUGGCAUUUUCAAUAUUUGGCAUGUGCAAACACCAUAAUUAAGCGUCGCCAGUAAUUAUAUUUUUUUCAAAUACUGAUAAAAAUUUUUCGACACCAUAUUGAAACGUUGGUAUAUUUAUCCGACAUGUUUACCUAACGACUUUUACUCAAUUUUACAAGCGUCGAGAUUAUUCUUGUCAACGCUUUAAAACAUCGUUAGUUAUUAUUUAAAUUAUUCUUAAGUACAAAAUAUGUUCGGGUGUGUGUAAACUACAUAAAUAUUAACCUACUAUGUGGAGUCUAUAUGUCCACGUACGGAUGAUCGUGUAAUGAAACCCUUUUAGGAUCUAUUAGGAUCUAUUUUUUUUGUUGGAAAUUAAAUUAAUUUUCAAGUUAAAAUAAUUUUAAUUAAAUUAAAAUUAUUUUUUUUUAUUAUUGUUUACUUUAUAGGUAAUGUUAUUGAAACUCUAGCUAUUCUUUUUUUAAAUUUAUUUUAUCAAAAAUUUUUGCACUUAUAGUAGUAAGAUAAAAAAAAUUAUAAUAAUUAAAAUUUUAUUAUUUUUUAAUCAAUUUUUUCUUCCAUAAUUGAUUAUAAUAAUAAAUAUUAUAAUAAAUAUUUAAAUAUUUAUUAUAAUAUUUAAAUAUAAAUAAUAUGUAUUAAUAUAGUACAAUUAAUAAUUUUAUAAUAAAAAUGAUGUAUUAUAAUAUAUAACAUAUUAUAUUUAUAUAAUUUAGUUUUAAUUCAAUUUAUAAUUUUAGUUAAGUUUGAAAUUAAGUAUUGGAAUAACACUAUUCCACGAAAAUUGUGGAAUAGCAAAUCCCUUGCUAUUCUGGAAUAAUCGGGAAUAGCAACGUUUGACCGGGAUAAAAUAUUCCGGUAAAACAUCACCCCGUUUGGCGGAAUAACGAGGAUAAUUUUUGUUAUCCCCGCUUAUCCCCCGAACCAAACGGGGCCUAAAUAAAUAAACCUACGAAUAAAUUUAAUUUACAAUGAAUUGAAUAACAAAAAUAUGUAUUUAAUUACGGGCGUAGCAACCGUAAAUGCAUGUUAUAUCUUGCUUGGUUAUUCCUGGGCUCACUGUUUAUUUAUAUUUCAGAAUAGGAUAAAUUAUAUUUUUGAUUCUCAAACUUUAAGACACGUAAUAUUUUGGUUCCCAAGAUUAAUUCAAUAUGAUUUAAUAAAAUAUUCUAUAAAUUUUUUUGUUAAAGCAACAAAGGGACGUAAAGUUGAAAAUUAUAAUAUAGUAAAAAUAUUAUCUUUCUGAGAGCAUAAGCUUCACAUACUAUUAUAAUAGAAAAUCACGAGUUCGGAUCAAACAAAUUUUCAAGAAAUGCUAAUAGUGUAAGUUUUCAGGAAGAUUGAAUAUAUAUUUUUUAUCCAAAAAGUUAAGCACAACACGCGAUAUAUUUAAAGAAGUAAAAUAUAUUUUAGCCAAAAAAAACAAAGAUAAUACUAAGGAUUGAUAAUAUAUUAUAUAUACUAGUGCAAAAAAAGAAACUCUUAAAUGAGAAUGUAUACGGUAAUUUACGCUCACUUUUUAGAUGUAUAGAUAUCAUGACCUCUCUUCUAAAAUUUUCUGAGAAAACAAGCUCACUCUAAACAAAGCAUGUUAGAGAUAAAAAUAAUGAGAUUUAAAUUGUAAUAUAAAAUUUGUUAUUUUAUUUCGUCACUAAUUAUUUUUUUAAUUUAAUUCGAAUCAGUAUAUAUUUCUUAUAGAAGUCGAUUAGUAAGGUGUAUAUAUAUAGAUCGAGAGAUAGAGAGAGUCUCGCUAUAGUCCUUUUAGACGCAUUAAGGCGUUAUGCUAUAGCCAUUUUAGCCGUGUGGAUGAACCCUAACAACUCUUAGAUCAUGCACAAUAAUGUUCCCUAUAAGUAACCAUCAUUAUUAACUUUUGAUCCAAUAGUCAAAGAAUAGGUCCAAACAUUAAAAAAUUAUAAGUAUCCAAAUUUUACUGCUUUUAGAAGUAUUCUAAGUUCUAUAUUGAGUUGGGCUAAGAUGCUUUUAAAAGGACCAAUGUAGAGAUGAAAAAAGAUAACAGCCGAAGAAAAUGAAAGAGCAACAGUUUGGUCCAAUGUAGAGAUGUGAGCCCGAUUCGAUUCAAAUAAAAAAAAAAGAAGAAAAAUUCGACUUGAUUCAAGCAAAAAAAAAGAAAAAUAUGUAGAGAACUUAAGUCGGUUCGGAAAAAUCCACACUCAACAAUAAUUGAUUUGGUUGGAGUUAAAAAAAAAGAAAAAUUCAGUUCGAUUCAAGUAAAAAAAAAAAUGUGGAGGACUAGAGCCGGUUCAAAAUAGAUGAUAUUCUUUUUUUUUAUCAUUUCAACACAAUUAAUUUGUCUUUUCCCUCUCUAGCUCUUUUCUGAUUUCAUAUUUACACGAGAUCUCUAUACACCGUAUAUAACAAACGUAUACAAACGUAUAAUUUAUUGGAGGCGCACCGUCGUAACAGAGCCAAGUAAGUAUAUAUGAACUAAUUAAGAAUCCUUGCUUUUAGUAUAUGAACUAAUAAGGAUCUUUGUAUAUAUAUAUAUAUAUACCUGGACAUGAUCAAAUCUAGCUGGAUUCAUGCUUUAAUUUUCUCUUGUCCCUGGGACAGUAAUAGGGCAUGGGCAUGAAUAAGACAUUUUUGGACUUUAAUUCUCAUGGUUGGAGCUCAGGGAUUUUAAUAUUUAAUUUGGACAAGAGAAAGAAAAAGGCACCCAAUUAACCAUCAAUGUCUCUUUUGCUUUGUACACUUCUUGCUGAGCUGUCACCAUUCACAAAUCUUUUCCUUUUUCUUUCCCUUUUUAUAAUACUUCUAAGUGGAGAGAGAGACACCUAAAAAUUAUAAUUAAAAAAAAAAAAGGAAUCUGAAAGAUACUAAGUUGACUUUUCCACGAAGAACAUUUCCACAUAAGGGAGUCAAUUAUAGAUAUUAUUAUUAUUAUUAGGAAAAACUUCAAAUAUCCCGUGUGGUUUCGCACUUUCUUAUUUUAAUAUCAUAUGAUUUAAAAUAUAUCAAGUUAGUACCAUGUGGUUUCACACUUUCUCACUUUAGUACCCUUUGGUUUAAUGUGACCGCUAUAUGUUUUCAUUAUGAUUUUUACCUAUAUCUAAUUCGAAUAUGAAUCUAAACCAGUUUUAUAUUAUAUAAUAUAUAAAAAUUUUAAUUUCUAUUGUAAAAUUUUCGAUCUGUGUAUGACAUGUUUUAAAAUUCGGUAGAAAGAAAUUAUAGUUUUCCAAUUCGGAUUUUCGAGUUCAAUUUCAAAAUUCAAAUUUUUUGUCGGAUUUGGUUUUCAUUUGGAUUUUUAAAAUCCUAUAGAUUCGGAUUUCGAUUUUGAUAGGUGCGAAUUUAGGUUCGGAUUUUUAAACUUUCGUCUUAAAUUCGUUGCAUUGGCAUCCCUACCUCAGGCUUCAUUGGGGCUUGUUAUAAAAGUAGGGCAAAUUGCUUGUUUGGUACUCAAACUUUGAUACCGGUGACAUUUUGAUCCUCAAAUUUUAAUUUUAUUAUAAGUUUUAGCUCAAAUUUUUAAAUUGUUGUAAUCAAAUCUCACAACCCAAUUGGAUUGACUAAGUAUUGUUGCAUCGUUGAUAUGCAAGUGAUGUAGUAUUUUAAUUUUGGUGCAUCAUCAAUCACAACACUACUGUAUUACUUCUAUAUUAAAAAUAUAUUGAUAGUUAAUAAAUUAAAUUAAGUUAUUAGACUUGAUUAUAAUAAUUCUGAAAGCCGAGCUAAAAAUUACAAUAAACUAAAGUUUAAGUACCAAAAUUUCACCUGUCUCAUUAUUUAAGGACAAAACGUGAAAUUUACCCUAAAGAAUAUUAUUUAAACAUGUAUCAAAAAUUUGGUUGUUACUGUACUUCUAAUACUUUUUGUUUCAAGAAGUUAAGGCCUUAUUUAAGAUCUCUAUCUUUCUUGAUGUCUCUUUUCUAAAUGUAGACGUCGUUUUUUUGAGAGAGAAACGUAAUAAAUUACUUGUUUCGAUUAUUUUAUUUAAAAAUAAAAUAAUUAUAAAAUAUGAAGUAAUUAGAUUUCGAACUCAAGAUCUUAAGUAUCAGCAAUUAAACUUUUUACCAUUUGCGCUAAAAACAGUCGAUCUAAAUAUUGCGCUAGCUAGGAAUGGUACGUCUAAAUAUUCAUUUUUGUUUCCAAAGAUUGCUCGACUGCAUGUAUAUAUGUCUAUGCAUAUACCCGUAAAAUUUGUUUGGCAAUAAAAAUGUUAAUAUAUAAAGGCUUUGGCGCAAACAAUAGAGAGGUUCAUCUAUGCAUCUGCAAAUUCACUCCCAUAGAAUUUAUGUACUAAAAAAUACAAAAUUACAAAAAUUCACAGUUAAAUUUUAUUAAAAAAAACUUCAAAUUCAAAAAACUUUUCACAAUGUUUCAACUAAUUAUAUUGCUUGCACUUUAAUUUUCAUCUUACACUUUGUCGCAUUAUCAAGUAGUCUCUAUUUAUUAUGUUCUUCGAGAGUGUGUCAAAGUCUAGUAUCAAAACUAUAGCAAAAAAAAUGUAGGAGGAUACUUGACAUUUUGUUUAUAAGUGUAUGUCAAAAAAAAUAAAUAAAUAAAUAAAGGGUAAGUUGUGUGCGUGGAAGGGGGAGGAAGGGUAGGUUGUGGAUAAUGUUCGAUCGAUAGAUCGUCACAACGUCUACACAAGUGUAACAUAUAGUCGAGUGAAAGCAAACACUCAUUACACAUGUGAAACAUACAGCCGAGAGAAAGCAACCACUCGCGAUACUCAGGCCUGAAACGCUCUAGGCGUGUGUUACAUCAACAUCAGUAGAAGCGCGCUCUCAUGAAAGCAACUCAAGAUUGUUUUCUCAAGUCGCAACUUCACAUAGCCCUUUAAAGCGCAUGUUCCAAAACCCUCGUCCGAAGCAUAAGCUGAAUUCACCUUACUAGCGUGUGUUCAAAGUGUACGGCUUUACGUCCCAGUCUAUAUAAUUCAGUACUUAGUAAAAACACAGGCAAUUCAAACAUCAUUAAAAGUGAGCAGCACGUGACAAUAAUAUUUGUUACUGAAAAAGACAUAAAGUACGAAAAAGUUUCAACACCUUCUAUAAUAUAACUGGUUAUACUUUACUAUCCUAUGGUUGAGGUGAUAGCACUUUUGCAUCCAUUUAAACUAUAUUUGUAACUACAUAUUAUUGGGACUACCCGUAACAACCAAACAAGAGAGACCUAAAGUGUCACAUUUGAAGCCACAAGAUACUGCAUAGAAUUGAGGUACACCACGUAGGUAGCAUUUUGAUUCUUUUUUUUUUUGAUUUUAUUAUAAAACUUUUAGCUAUUUUAUAUCAAAAUGGAGAAUUUCUUUUAGGAACCAAGCCAAAUAUAUAGGCACCAGCUUAUUUACUCCACAAAUUAAACAAGAUUGUUGAGACGGGGCUAAGCAAAGUUUCAGCGAAGUGCGUUGAGCACCGAUCAUCGUGGAUUAAGAUUUUUAUCUUGUUUUAAUCUCAAGAUAUCGAUCUGAAUUUUGAAGCGCUGCAUGCAUAUCGCAACUGAUUGAUACAGAGGAGCUCUACUAGUCUUUGAAUUCAGAAUAGUACUAUCACAAAAUAGUAAAUUCUAUGCAUUUUUGAAAAAUAAAAAAUAGACAACAAACUCUAUUUCUCUAUUAAGAAUAACACUCUAAUUUUUCUCAUAUCAACGGAUCUAUACAUACUUGCUAUGCCCGACUUAUAUUUAACUAAAAUUUAGCCAAUUUCAAUUUGUGUUAUUGACAAGGGUUAAUUGCCCUGCAAACGUAAUAAAUUACAAAUAUAUUCUUAUAAAGUUUAAUUUUCAUAUAUUGUCAUUACAAAAGUUCUAAUAUUUUAAAAUAUGUCCCUCUAACUUGUUAUUGUUAUAUAACUAUUUAUUUUUUAACAGCAAAUAAGUAAAAUAUCAAUUUUGCUAUCAUAAAUAUGUUCAUCCAAAAGUCCCAACUGCUAUAAUCGUACAAAAAUGCCUCUCUGAAAAAUUUUCAAUGGUCAUCCACUAUUGUUGCAACCUCUUCUCUCACCCCUUUUCUCAUACUUUUUUUAAGCAAAUAGGAAAAAAUUAUAGAGAAAAUUGUGGAAAACAUGCAACACGCAUUCGACAUGCAUAUGGAUGAAGCAACACGCGUUGUAGAUAAAUGGGAAUGAAAAAAUUCUAAAUAUAGGUUUGAAACUAGCAUGCAAGAGAGAGAGGAAAAGGAAGAUAAGGAAGAAGAAGAGUUUUCAUUAUUAGAAUUUUAAUUGAGAGAAGAAAGUAUAAUAUAAGAGGGGUACUUUACUGACUAAUUAGAAUUAAGUAUUUUAUCAAUGAUUAACUAAAUUUUUCUAACGAAACCUAACGGCAGAAACAAUUUUAAAAAUAUUAGAACUUAAAAUAUAUAUAUAUAUAUAUAUAAAAGUUUAAUUUUAUAAGUAUAUAUUUGUAAUUUAUUGUGUUUGCGUGGAGCUGUUAAUAUGUCACCCUGAGUAAACUAUUGGAGAGUGCUGACGUGGCGGGACGAGAGGCGUGCUUCGAUGGUGACUGUGAUGAAACCACGACAAGCCAAAAUGACCAAAUCUGUGCUCAAGUUUUGUCCAUUGGUGAUUGGCCACAAACAACUCACGUGAUAAUGAUGUGAAUCCAAAUAUUAGUUCUCCAUCUUUGUCGUAUCUUCAUCGCAUGAACUGUCUGAUAUAACGCUUAAUUAAUUUCUUAAUUAGAGAAGAAGAGUUUGGUUACAAUAUAAAAUAUUAUUCAUGCACGUAUGUAUCUCCUAGUAUCUUCGUAACAAACGAUAACACAUUUUGAAAUUACAACUACUUGAGCAUCUAGAGAAAUAAAUCCAUUGUUUACUUUAAAAGCAUUGUUUCCUAUUCGCGCCACUUCCUAGUAGGUUGCUUAUUUUAGAACUACUUUAAUUUUCGGGCUCAGCCAGCGUCCAAAAUAUUAUAGACUCAUAUGAAUGACUAGAUCUUAGAAGUUAAGAGAGCUAAAUGUUCUAGAAUUAUAGUAGUCUUAAAAAGUGGGACGUCACACAUAUUAUUAAUUCAGUAUAUAUAAUAUAAGCUAUUUGAACUUUAUUAUAAGAACUAUAUUAAAUAUAUAUUAUUGUCUGCAUAUAAGUCCAUUGAUCUUGAAUGCUUCUAAAAGCGUAAAAGAGUAUCUAAUAUUAACUUUUUUAAUCCUAUGCGCAUAAUAGUGCCACCACCAAAUUAAUGGUAAAUUUUAGGCAUCUAAAAGAGUUUAAAAGUAAGGAACAAACAAUACUUUAUGUAUUUCUAAGAGAAUUCUAUGUCCACUGGUCGAAAUAUUAUGAAAAUCUAGUUUUUAGAAAGUUCAAAUUGUUUCUAUUGUAUUUAGUAAUACUGAUUAUUGAUUCUGAUGCUCUAUCGCCGGAAACAAAGUGAAAGUAAACUAUUUUGUUUACUUUUAAAAAUAUUCCAAUUUUAUUCACAUUAUAGUGAUUUAUGUGAUAUUAAUUUUGCUGAUCACAAAACUCGAACGCACAAUACACUCUCCUCCGUUUAUACGUUAUAAAAGAUAAUAAACAUGCGCAACAACUGUUUGUAUUCCAAAAAUUAAAUUAAUAGAUAACACGAUAUUUGUAAUAUUUUAUAUUGUUCAAUAUAUUUAUUUUAUGUAUAAUUUUACAGAGGGUCAGAGUUUAAACACAUGGCCGAAUUUGGUCCCUACAUGGAUUGAAUAAUAAUAAUAAUAAAAAGAAAACAAACAUUUAAACCCCGGCAUAUAUAUAUUAUUAAUGAUGUGAAAGGUGGUGCCAUGUUUCCUUUUCCAAAAAACGAACAUCAUCAUUUUAUUAGUAAAUGUGCAAACACUUAUUAAGUUAAUUGACCUUUAUUAAGUAUAUGCCAAAAUUAAGUAUAUUGCAAACACUUAUUAAGUAUAUAUGCCAAAAUUAAGUCGCGGCACAUUAAUUAGCUAGAAAGAGAUUAAAUUAAGAAAAGCCAGAUCAACAAAAGUAGUUGAGGUUAAUUAAUUAGGGAACUGUAUUAUUGUUUAUCAGGAGAGGUGGCACAAGUAGAGUAAUUGUAUAAUUAAUUAGUAUUAACUAAUUAUAUAAAAGCAUCGAAUCUCAUGUACGUAUUUGUAGAAAGAGUAAUGCUAUCGUUCAAUACUUCGAUAGUAGAGAAUUUUAUCUGACAAAUCAAAAUGAUUUUUCACAAAAAUAUUGCAAUUUAUGAACAAAAUAAUAUAUAGUUAUUAAUUGUAAAAUUUCGUCAAUGAGCAACGAAUAUUUCUCAUAAAUAUUACAGAAUUUAAUUAUAAUUAAAUAUAUUAAUUAUUCCCUUUUCCCACCCAAUAUAUUUGUAUAUAUAUAUAAAUAUAUAAUAUAUAUUAUAUAUAUAUAUAUAUAUUAUAUAUAUAUAUUAUAUAAGCACCUAACUCUCCACAUGGAACUAACUCAUCCUGGGAAGCUACGUCACUUUCGUUGAACAACUAAAUUAAUCACAUUUGGUCCUUUUGUUUUUUGUUUAUUUUUUUUUUUUUUUUUUUUUUUUUUUGUUUUUUUUGGAGAAAGCCCCUUUUGCUGAACCAUUCAUAUCUUAUGCAAUUUUAUUGCUAGAAAUAUAAAAAUAAAAAAGGGGAAAAAUAUUAAAGGGGAGAGAAAACAAAAAAAAUGGUUUGCUCUUGUACAUGAUGUCUAGUUUGUACAGAAGAGAAGAAAUUAAAAAUAAAAAUUCUUUCUAUUUUUAAAAAUUUCUAUUUUGCCUCCUUUAUAAAAGUUUAAAAUUUAUAUCACAGCACUUAAUCUUGCAUUGUUGUUAUUUUGUCACCAUUCCGUACACAUAUUAUAUGGUAUAAUUGAAAUUUUUAAAAAAUACUCAUUUUAUCCCUAAAGUACAUGACAGAAAAAGUAAAAUUAAUUAGUAAAUAAUAAAAGAUUUAUUUUUUUAUAUAGUUAAUUAAUCAACCUGAAAAAAAAGAAAAUAUUUUUGCAACUUUUCGUAAUAGGUAUCUCAGUUAAUAAUUUAUUUGUGCCAUGCAAUUUAUGCAUAGAAUAGUGAUAAAAUAGUAACAGUGCUAGGUUAAAUGCUAUAAAUUUAAAUUUUAAGAAGGCAAAAUAAGAUUUUUUAAAUUGAAAAAGUAAAGUGCAAAAGUAGGUAUUUACAAAAAAAAAUUUUGUUUGUAUCUUAGCUUAAGGAAAAAAAACUUUUGAUAGUUUAUCUUUUCUUGUUCUUUCCUCUUUGUGAGGAAAAUAAAGUUAUGACGAUUUUAGGGCUUUGUUUUUCUCUUCUAAUCUCUCCAAUAUUUGUUUAUCUCCAUAACUUUCAUUCCCGCUGCAUGGAUAAAGCUGUAUAUAUUUAUAUUUAUAACAAUAUAUAAAAAUAAUAAUUUUAACGCACAUAUUAUAUAUCCUACCAUUGGUAAUAACCACUACUUCAAAAGGUCGAACUAUUAGAAUAAACUAAUCAAUUUAUUUAAAAGUGUAUGUAUAAACACAGUGCUCACGAGUCUCGACCGUGAUUUGAUUGAAUUAGUUCAGCGUCCGCCGCGUACACAAAAUGCUGGCCUCCUAGCUUACGAUCGACGUGUCGUACAUAGCGCUUGCUACUUUUACGAAAAGUACAUGCGGAGCAGCUAAAGGCACGUUUGCAAGAAGCUCUCUUUUGCUGGGCAAGUGAUCCGUGCUGUGGUGUGGUUCCACAGCUUGAUAGAUCAUCUGCUUUACAUGGAUCUCCGUCGUUAUCUCUCGUUGUCGUAUUAAUUGUUGCCCCACUGUACAAAUGUCUGAGCAUAUAGAUUCAGUUAUUGAAAGUUGUUUUUGAUGAUCCCAAAUUAAGAAAAUUUAACCAAAGUUGUUUGAAAAAGUCGAUCCACAAUUUAUUACUAUAUAUGUACUUUGAGAAUUCUAAUUUUGUGCACUAUAUAUUGAGUUAUAAAGGAAAAGAGAUCAAUAAUGCAAAGAGGCUGCUUUCCUACCAUAUUAAAUACUAUGAAAUAAUCGUUGUUUGGGCUGCGUUUGAUUCAAAAACUAAAUUAUGAAGGUAACUUUUGUUCUUCUCGACAACAGGUAACAGUUUUAUUUUGUUUGUUUGUUUCUGAAAAGAUAUUCCUGAUAGUUUUUUUGAAUAUUUAUGUCGGAAUAAGAUAUUGGAUCGAUAAAAAUUAAAUAGGAUAACAAUUUUGCCCUUGAAUGUAAUAAUAAUAUAUAUAAUUUUAAGCAUAAAAGUGAAAAUACAAUUUCAAUUUUAUAAUUUAACAAAUAAUUAUAUGUUAUUUAAAAUAUAGAAGAGCAGAUUAAUUUACAAAUUUAGUAUAUUUGCAAAUCAACUUAGAAAAAUUAAUGCAGGAGCAUGCAAUUUGAGCAUUCAUUUGAUUUGUUUUAAAAUUUGAUUCAAAUAAAAUAUAAAAAAAUAAAGUUGGAUAAAGGGGCAAAAAUUUGUUGUUCUGACUUAUUCUCCAUGUGGGAAGGAAAGGCGAUAUAUCUCUAACCAAAAUAUAUAAUAGAAUAAUAAGCUGUCAAAAAACAAUAUUUUUAUAUCUUUAUACUCAAUACGAAUAAUAUAAUCAAAUAAAUUAAAAAAUUAGAUGAGUAGAUAAGAUACAAAAAGUGUUGAAUAAUUGUACUAAAUGGUCCGAAGUUUAGGUUAGUUUCGUGCGUUUGUACCUUUUUCUCUUCUUAUCAACAUCUCGUGAAUAGUAAUCUUAAACAAAAAGUUUAGUUUUCAUUUAUCGCAUCUCUGCGUCGACCUACCAAAGCAGAGCAUUCUAGGUUCAAGAAGAGCUACCUGAAAUAAACACUCAUUUCUGCUUCUCGCUGAAGCUAGAAGCUCGAUCCUACAAAAUAAUUACCUUAUUUCUAACUUCUCUUUAGUAGGAAAAAAAAAAAAAAAAAAGAACAAUUAAAUUUGCACCGCUCAAACUCUACGUGGCUUUUGUGGACAAGUCUGUUGGCUUAAAGGGGCUAGCAUCGUACUUUGUUGCAGGAGGUCUGAUUAGAUUGAGCCACAUUCAAAAUAACAUAAGACUGGAUUGGGUCGAAUUAUGUUCGAAAUUGUGUGAGAUUGAUCGAACCGAGUCAUAAUUGAGACUUGUAAGCACCGUGUAUGUGCACUUUAAGUGAAUUAGUUGUGUAUUUCUAACAGCUCGAGCUUUUAAAAUUAAUAGUUAUUGCCAAUGAUUGGACAAGUAGUUUUAGAGACAGAGCACACGAAUUCGAUUCUCACAUGUUAUGAAUUUAUGCAGGUGCUGGAGGGGAGGGGGGGGGGNUGUUGGCUUAAAAGAACCAGCAUUCUACUCUAUGGCAAGAGACCAGAUUAGGCCGAGUCAUAUUCGAAGUGGCGUGAGACUGGUUGGGCCGAGUCUUGUUCGAAAUGGGGUGGGGCUGCUUUAAAAGUUUAUUAUUUUAUAUUUUAUAUAGAUGAUGGUAAAAUUACCUUAAAUAUAAAAAAAGCAAAAUAUUUUUUGUUUAAAAAAUAAUUAAGAAGGUAAGCACACUAUUUGUUUAAAAUUACUCUCUCUAACUGCUGUAGUUGAAACAGCGGCCAAUUUGGACGUAAUUCCUACUGUUGCAAUUAUACCUCCUCUUACAAUUCCAACUGUAGCAGUUAAAGUUAAACAUAUCGAACCAAACAUUGAAUUUAUAUUUAUAUAUAGUUACAACUACAGUAUAGUUAUAAUUACAUGCAAUCAAACGAUCCCUAAAUAAAUUAACUAUGUAUUUUUAACAAUUUAAAUUUUAAAAUUAAUAAUUAGCGUCAACGAUGUGACAAAGUACACGUAAUGGAGCGCUCUCAAUCUUUUUACUAUCAUACAAGUCGUGUUAUCCUAAUUUAUUAUUGCCUUGCCCAACAUGCACACGAAUUUAAGUUUGGGAGGCCCCCUCUAUUAUUCGUUUUAAAGUCCAACCACAUCACGGAGCUCUUUUUGUGUCCCAAUUUUGUCUGUAGGUCCAUGAGAAGUUUAGGCCCUUUAGCCGGAUAAAACUUCAAUGGGAGCCACUAAUCUGCUGUUAAAAAUUUUAGAUAACUUUUAAUACUAAGAUCAAAAAAAAUUAAUUGUAUAGAAUAGGGUUAUAAAUUUUGGAUAGACAAAACAGGCACGUCGCAGUGAAUCGAAGGCUCCUCAAUGUGUCUUUGUUGGGAAAAAGUUUUUCCCCCUUUUAGGGCAUUGAUUUUGUUUUGUCUUAUAAAACUACAAAAAGGAGAACUAGACGAAAACUACAAUUUAUCUUCUUUUUUUUGGGUUGGGAAUUCGAUACUCGUCCCGAUAUCUGAUUUUGUGAAUCCGCAACCCGCUCCGAUACCGACUGUUGUAGAUCCGAUACCGAUUGUUGGGAUUCUGCAACGGAAGCGGCGAAUCGGAUUUUUACCAUAAAUCUAUCUCCUCAAUAGAAAUUGAUACAAUCACAAAAGAGAGAAAAAUCAAAGCAGAAAAUAUGCGGAUAAAAUAAAAAUCAUUAAAUAAAAAAAAUAUUACACCCGACUCCUCUUUUGCAACUGAGUAGUUACAACCCUAACCCUAUUCUUGAAUCUCUCUCACCUUUCUCUCGUCUUUUAUAAAUCCAAAAGACAACUCUUUUUCUCUCUCAUAUGCAUCCGCGCACUAUGUGCAUGCAACCGACCAACUCUCACUCUCUAGUACAACCCAUCAAAGAGCUUCAACUUUUUGACGGUACUCACUCUCCAAAAGCACCCCGCAUGGUACGUAUAUAAUGCUUGCAAUAAAACGUACCCAAAUUCUAGCAUAUUUAAGAUUUCUAUUCUAAUAAAUAUUUAAAUUUUAAUUUAUCUCCGAUAGAUUUAAAUAUUUAUCAUAAUCUAGUUAGAUUCAUACUCUAAUUAAUAUUUAAAUCUUAAUUUAUCUCCAACAAAUUUAAAUAUUAAUCCUAAUCCAAUUAGGAUUCAACUACAAAUCUAACUAAAUCCUAACAUUUUGAGCCACAAAAUCCAUUUUAAAGCAAAAAAGCUAAUUUAAUCUGUUCAUGAAGAGUUAGUUAAAUCGUCUCCAAAAAGAAGGGACGCAUCUUAAAUUAUCGAAGCAAUUUACGUUGUCUCCUAGAUACUUAAGUGUUGCUUGAUAUCACAAUCUUAUAUAAGACGCUUCCAAUUGAAACUUUUACAAUAGAAUCAAAAGUACUAAAAUUUUUACUUCUACUUCUAGCUACCUCAAAAGUUGUAGUUUAGUCUUGUUGUCAAAUACUCUGCUAAAAUUCCGCAGCGCAGCAGCGAUGUAAGCAAAGUUACACGGACACUUAAUUUAUAGCUCAAUGACCGUCGCCGCAUCGUUAUACAGCAAUAAAAGUAGAACCAAAUAGACACUAAACGAUUCGGAUAAUCUAAUGACUUUUUCCCGUUGUGCUAUUUAAUUGCAGUAAAAAUUAAGUUAUUAUAAAGUAUACUUUACUGUAAUAGUUUGUACUGUUGUGAUAAUAUAAAUUAUAUUAUUUAGCCAUUUAUACCAUAUAAUUAAAUAAUUUAUAGCAAUAAUUUGCAAUGAUUCUUGUUUAUUGCCAAAAUUUAUUAUUUUAACUAAUAGUUACAAAUUGCAGCAGCAUUUAUUGUUGGGAAGUAAUGAAUUUCCAGUGUUGGUUGCAUGUGAUUGAAGAGACUAAUCUAUAUAUAAUAUCCCCUCAUUCUUGGAGAAUAAUUAUUGUUUUACACCUUUUACUUCUUAUCGAAAAAAAAAAAGGUAGAAAAAAAAAGUUAAAAUAAAAGCAGAAUAUUAAACAUAUAAAUAUAAGUGAAAAUUUCAUAACUUCCCUUCCAAAUAAGUCUAAUAUCAUGAAUGCCCCUAUAAAAAUUGAAAUAUCAUAAAUAACCUUUUAAAAGAGAGAAACUUUCAAAAAUAACCUUCACACUAAUUUAUUAUCAAUUUUGAAUAAACAACAAACAAAAUUCCAACUUUGCCCUUAUUGUCAUUACCAUCUUAAAAUAUUUAAUUGACUAUAAAAUUAUUUAUAAUUUUAUAAACACUCUUUUAAAUUUAUAAAUAACCUACAUUUAGAAAUAAGUUUUUUGUCAGUUAAAAAAUAUAUAUAUAAUCCUGACAAGUUAAGCUAAAAAAUAAAAAAAAUCAAAAGUUUUGAAAAAAAUUUAGCAAAAAAUUGUUUAAAGUAUCAAUUGACUCAUUAAAAUUAGGUUAAACAGUUUAUUCAAAAUAUAACUUAAAUAUAUAUGCAUGAUGUGAAUUAAGUUAUUUGAACUAGCACAAAUUUCUGUGCUUUGGGAUCUCGAAUUUAAGAUAAAUGAUAUAAAGUAUCUUAUUUUAUAAACCACACAGCAGUAAAAUGAUAUAUUUGACUGUUUAUUUUAAUAUUUUAAAAUAAAUACAUCAUGCUAAAAUACUUUUGUAAAAAAUUUUAGAAGUUAAGGGCAAAGUGGACAUUUCGACCAUAUUUAUGAUAAUCUAAAUAUUUUAUAAUUCUAUGAAGAGAUGAAUUGUAAGGAUAAGGGUAUAUUUGAAAAAUAAUAAGUAUUUGUAGGAGUAAUUGUGAUAUAAUCAAAUUUAUAUGGGCAUCUAUGAUAUUUUUUAAGUUUAGAGGGGCACAAAUGAAAUUGACCCUAAAUAUAAAUAUUAAAAUAUCAUUCUCUUAUAACUUAAGCUUAAAAUUACAACAUUAAUUAUCACAGUAUCAGAGUGGAAGAGAUUCUGAAUUCAAAUUCCACCGAUCCCCUCGUCUAAUAUAACUUUCUCAUUUUAAUUUUGGCUUACACUUUUUGGAGAACAACGAUUGUUUCGUUUUGUUUAACACGGUAUUAGAGUGAAAAAGAUGCCAAAUUCAAAUCCAACCAUACAUACCCCUAGGCUAAUUUAAUUUUUUUAUUUAAUUUAAAU
RNAcentral lists this long non-coding RNA (15295 nucleotides) under Ananas comosus (pineapple). RNAcentral describes it as "long non-coding RNA (ACOM_LNC027283)". The record is from RNAcentral. Lineage: Eukaryota; Viridiplantae; Streptophyta; Magnoliopsida; Poales; Bromeliaceae.